Molecule: non-coding RNA, 990 nt
Filed under: Pongo abelii (Sumatran orangutan)
Lineage: Eukaryota; Metazoa; Chordata; Mammalia; Primates; Hominidae
Source: RNAcentral
GGAAUGGGAUAUUCCGACUCCUUAAGGGCCUGGAGCACAUAAGGUGUGACCUUUUCAUUCCCGUUGUCAUGGAGGGCCACAUCUGCCAGAGCCUGGAGUCUGCGAAGGCCGGGACCCGGUUCCCCGGCCCGCCGUGGGGAGUGUGCAAACCCGAGAGAACUGGAUUGCGUACCCACUGCAGAGGGCUGAAGACGGGGUAGCCACGAGGUUGCAAAUUCGUGAAGAAUCAGCAGCAUGUUUGGCAGCUGAGUAUUGGAGCCAGGAGCCUGCCAUGAGGUUUUGAGAACAGGGUGCUGUUUUAGAGCUGGCAGCAGCAUCUCAGCCCAAGAGAAGGUUAUAUUCCCAGAGGAUGUCAGUCCCAAGGACCAGUAGCUGCCAUCAGUUUGGAUUCUGAAAACUAACCGGCAUCAACAUUGGGUGUAGAAACAUGCUUGCCUUGUGUAUCAGAGGACAUGCUCAGCAGAUCCAAGAGAUAUAUUUGGCAACUUUUUCUAGAAAAGGCACAUUAGGUAUCAUUCAUUACAUUCUUGAGUUUUUUUGGGGUUUUUUUUUUUUUUGAGACAGUCUUGCUGUGUUGCCCAGGCUGGAGUGUGGUGGCACAAUCACAGCUCAUUGCAGCCUCAAUCACCCAGGCCUAAGCAAUCCUCCCACCUUGUAGCUGGGACUACAGCUCACAGCACACCUGGCUAAAAUUUUUUUUUGUUGAGACGGAUUCUCUAUGUUGCUCAGGCUGGUCUCAAGCUCCUGGGCUUAGAUGGUCCUCCUGCCUCAGCUUCCAAAGGCACAGGCCAAGUUGUAGCUUUGUCCCUUGCCAUCAUGCCCAACAAGAGGUUCUAUACCUUUUAAUGAACUGACUUUCAUAAAUUGGUUAUGUUGGUGGGCAAGUUCUUUAAGCUGGAAAUUGUAAAUUCCUCCUGAAAUGUUUUUUCAUGCAGUUACCAUGAACUAAUACUACAAUAAAGGAUGGUCUUGGGUGUCAAUUCUUGAAAA